This 213-nucleotide unclassified non-coding RNA is filed under the name Hevea brasiliensis (rubber tree). Lineage: Eukaryota; Viridiplantae; Streptophyta; Magnoliopsida; Malpighiales; Euphorbiaceae. The record is from RNAcentral.
CUUCUCUGCAGCUGCUUCAGCAUGUGUUGGCUCAGAACUUGAAUGACAAACCAAGAGACCAAAAAUUAAGCCAGCUGAAGCACAUUCUUGUGACCAAGAUACAGAUCCCACAUUACUCUUAAUUUUGGACAGCAUUCCUCGUUUUGACAUUGAAAGUCUCAAGUUCAAAUUUUGAUAUGCUAGUGAAAUAUUGAAGUGUCUCUUUAAAGGACC